ACGGACACAUCACGUUGAAACUCCGGUUCCCGUACGAUCACCGAAGUUAAGCAACCUCGGGUCUGGUCAGUGCAUGGAUGGGUAACCGCUUAGAAAUACCGGGUGCGGUAAG
Molecule: non-coding RNA, 112 nt
Organism: Acanthosepion pharaonis
Lineage: Eukaryota; Metazoa; Mollusca; Cephalopoda; Sepiida; Sepiidae
Source: the annotation of a GenBank genome assembly